AACGAACGCUGGCGGCAUGCCUAACACAUGCAAGUCGAACGAGAUCCUUCGGUGUCUCGUGGCGCACGGGUGCGUAACGCGUGGGAAUCUGCCCUUAGGUUCGGAAUAACAGUUAGAAAUGACUGCUAAUACCGGAUGAUGACGUUAAGUCCAAAGAUUUAUCGCCUGAGGAUGAGCCCGCUUAGGAUUAGCUAGUUGGUGUGGUAAAGGCGCACCAAGGCGACGAUCCUUAGCUGGUCUGAGAGGAUGAUCAGCCACACUGGGACUGAGACACGGCCCAGACUCCUACGGGAGGCAGCAGUGGGGAAUAUUGGACAAUGGGCGCAAGCCUGAGCCAGCAAUGCCGCGUGAGUGAUGAAGGCCUUAGGGUUGUAAAGCUCUUUUACCCGAGGUGAUAAUGACAGUAUCGGGAGAAUAAGCCCCGGCUAACUCCGUG
RNAcentral lists this ribosomal RNA (436 nucleotides) under uncultured bacterium. RNAcentral's name for it is "partial 16S ribosomal RNA". It matches the Rfam family "Bacterial small subunit ribosomal RNA", at positions 29 to 507 of the family's 1533-position model. The record is from RNAcentral.